AGAGUUUGAUCCUGGCUCAGAUUGAACGCUGGCGGCAGGCCUAACACAUGCAAGUCGAGGUAACAGGAAGAAGCUUGCUUCUUUGCUGACGAGUGGCGGACGGGUGAGUAAUGUCUGGGAAACUGCCUGAUGGAGAGGGAUAACUACUGGAAACGGUAGCUAAUACCGCAUAACGUCGCAAGACCAAAGAGGGGGACCUUCGGGCCUCUUGCCAUCGGAUGUGCCCAGAUGGGAUUAGCUAGUAGGUGGGGUAACGGCUCACCUAGGCGACGAUCCCUAGCUGGUCUGAGAGGAUGACCAGCCACACUGGAACUGAGACACGGUCCAGACUCCUACGGGAGGCAGCAGUGGGGAAUAUUGCACAAUGGGCGCAAGCCUGAUGCAGCCAUGCCGCGUGUAUGAAGAAGGCCUUCGGGUUGUAAAGUACUUUCAGCGGGGAGGAAGGGAGUAAAGUUAAUACCUUUGCUCAUUGACGUUACCCGCAGAAGAAGCACCGGCUAACUCCGUGCCAGCAGCCGCGGUAAUACGGAGGGUGCAAGCGUUAAUCGGAAUUACUGGGCGUAAAGCGCACGCAGGCGGUUUGUUAAGUCAGAUGUGAAAUCCCCGGGCUCAACCUGGGAACUGCAUCUGAUACUGGCAAGCUUGAGUCUCGUAGAGGGGGGUAGAAUUCCAGGUGUAGCGGUGAAAUGCGUAGAGAUCUGGAAGAAUACCGGUGGCGAAGGCGGCCCCCUGGACGAAGACUGACGCUCAGGUGCGAAAGCGUGGGGAGCAAACAGGAUUAGAUACCCUGGUAGUCCACGCCGUAAACGAUGUCGACUUGGAGGUUGUGCCCUUGAGGCGUGGCUUCCGGAGCUAACGCGUUAAGUCGACCGCCUGAGGAGUACGGCCGCAAGGUUAAAACUCAAAUGAAUUGACGGGGGCCCGCACAAGCGGUGGAGCAUGUGGUUUAAUUCGAUGCAACGCGAAGAACCUUACCUGGUCUUGACAUCCACAGAACUUUCCAGAGAUGGAUUGGUGCCUUCGGGAACUGUGAGACAGGUGCUGCAUGGCUGUCGUCAGCUCGUGUUGUGAAAUGUUGGGUUAAGUCCCGCAACGAGCGCAACCCUUAUCCUUUGUUGCCAGCGGUCCGGCCGGGAACUCAAAGGAGACUGCCAGUGAUAAACUGGAGGAAGGUGGGGAUGACGUCAAGUCGUCAUGGCCCUUACGACCAGGGCUACACACGUGCUACAAUGGCGCAUACAAAGAGAAGCGACCUCGCGAGAGCAAGCGGACCUCAUAAAGUGGGUGGUAGUCCGGAUUGGAGUCUGCAACUCGGCUCCAUGAAGUCGGAAUCGCUAGUAAUCGUGGAUCAGAAUGCCACGGUGAAUACGUUCCCGGGCCUUGUACACACCGCCCGUCACACCAUGGGAGUGGGUUGCAAAGGAAGUAGGUAGCUUAACCUUCGGGAGGGCGCUUACCACUUUGUGAUUCAUGACUGGGGGGAAGUCGUAACAAGGUA
Molecule: ribosomal RNA, 1498 nt
Filed under: Escherichia coli O157:H7
Lineage: Bacteria; Pseudomonadati; Pseudomonadota; Gammaproteobacteria; Enterobacterales; Enterobacteriaceae
Description: bacterial SSU rRNA
Rfam family: Bacterial small subunit ribosomal RNA
Source: RNAcentral